UUUAUACUCUCUCCGCCCCAAAAUUCUUGUCUUAGAUUAUUCUAGAUACAGAUGUAUCUAAUACCAAAACGUGACUUGAUACAUCCGUAUUUAGACAAAUCCAAGACAAGAAUUUUGGGACGGAGGGAGUAUUUC
This is a non-coding RNA of Triticum aestivum (bread wheat), 135 nucleotides long. The record is from Rfam. Lineage: Eukaryota; Viridiplantae; Streptophyta; Magnoliopsida; Poales; Poaceae.